RNAcentral lists this ribosomal RNA (381 nucleotides) under uncultured bacterium. RNAcentral's name for it is "bacterial SSU rRNA". It matches the Rfam family "Bacterial small subunit ribosomal RNA", at positions 313 to 711 of the family's 1533-position model. The record is from RNAcentral.
UUGGGACUGAGACACGGCCCAAACUCCUACGGGAGGCAGCAGUGGGGAAUAUUGCACAAUGGGGGAAACCCUGAUGCAGCGACGCCGCGUGAGUGAUGAAGUAUUUCGGUAUGUAAAGCUCUAUCAGCAGGGAAGAUAAUGACGGUACCUGACUAAGAAGCACCGGCUAAAUACGUGCCAGCAGCCGCGGUAAUACGUAUGGUGCAAGCGUUAUCCGGAUUUACUGGGUGUAAAGGGUGCGUAGGUGGUGAGACAAGUCUGAAGUGAAAAUCCGGGGCUUAACCCCGGAACUGCUUUGGAAACUGCCUGACUAGAGUACAGGAGAGGUAAGUGGAAUUCCUAGUGUAGCGGUGAAAUGCGUAGAUAUUAGGAGGAACACCA